GCCCGGUUAGCUCAAUCGGUAGAGCGUGAGACUCUUAAGCUUGCUUGGUAUCUCAAGGCUGCGGGUUCGACCCCCGCAUCGGGCU
Molecule: non-coding RNA, 85 nt
Organism: Hypoxylon fuscum
Lineage: Eukaryota; Fungi; Ascomycota; Sordariomycetes; Xylariales; Hypoxylaceae
Source: the annotation of a GenBank genome assembly